GACGAACGCUGGCGGCGUGCCUAACACAUGCAAGUCGAGCGGAGAUGUACUGAAGAUUUAUCGGAUGUACAUCUUAGCGGCGGACGGGUGAGUAACGCGUGGGCAACCUGCCUUCCACUGGGGGAUAACACAGGGAAACCUGUGCUAAUACCGCAUGACAUCACAUAGGGCAUCCUGUGUGAUCAAAGGAGUGAUCCGGUGGAAGAUGGGCCCGCGUCCGAUUAGCUAGUUGGUGAGGUAACGGCUCACCAAGGCGACGAUCGGUAGCCGGACUGAGAGGUUGGACCGGCCACGAUUGGGACUGAGACACGGCCCAGACUCCUACGGGAGGCAGCAGUGGGGAAUAUUGCGCAAUGGGGGGAACCCUGACGCAGCGACGCCGCGUGAAGGAAGAAGGCCUUCGGGUUGUAAACUUCUUUGAUGAGGGACGAAGGAAGUGACGGUACCUCAAAACAAGCCACGGCUAACUACGUGCCAAGCAGCCGCGGUAAUAGUACUCUA
This 501-nucleotide ribosomal RNA is filed under the name uncultured bacterium. RNAcentral's name for it is "bacterial SSU rRNA". It matches the Rfam family "Bacterial small subunit ribosomal RNA", at positions 28 to 529 of the family's 1533-position model. The record is from RNAcentral.